UGAGGAAUCUUGCGCAAUGGGGGAAACCCUGAUGCAGCGACGCCGUGUGGAGGAUGACGGCCUUCGGGUUGUAAACUCCUUUUGUCAGGGACAAUGGUGAUGGUACCUGACGAAUAAGCCACGGCUAACUACGUG
This 135-nucleotide ribosomal RNA is filed under the name uncultured bacterium. RNAcentral describes it as "partial 16S rRNA". It matches the Rfam family "Bacterial small subunit ribosomal RNA", at positions 355 to 507 of the family's 1533-position model. The record is from RNAcentral.